This 320-nucleotide ribosomal RNA is filed under the name uncultured Actinomycetales bacterium. Its description in RNAcentral is "bacterial SSU rRNA". It matches the Rfam family "Bacterial small subunit ribosomal RNA", at positions 531 to 849 of the family's 1533-position model. The record is from RNAcentral. Lineage: Bacteria; Bacillati; Actinomycetota; Actinomycetes; Actinomycetales.
GGCGCAUGCGUUGUCUGGAAUUAUUGGGCGUAAACAGCUCGUAGGUGGUCUGUUGCGUCCGCAGUGAAAACUCAGGGCUUAACCCUGACCCUGCAGUGGAUACGGGCAGACUACAGGUAGGUAGGGGAGAAUGGAAUUCCUGGUGUAGCGGUGAAAUGCGCAUAUAUCAGGAGGAACACCGGUGGCGAAGGCGGUUCUCUGGGCCUUACCUGACACUGAGGAGCGAAAGCGUGGGGAGCGAACUAGAUUACAUACCCUGGUAGUCCACGCCGUAAACGUUGGGCGCUAGGUGUGGGAUCCUUCCCCGGAUUCCGUGCCGC